This 621-nucleotide ribosomal RNA is filed under the name Achromobacter piechaudii. RNAcentral describes it as "bacterial SSU rRNA". It matches the Rfam family "Bacterial small subunit ribosomal RNA", at positions 41 to 656 of the family's 1533-position model. Lineage: Bacteria; Pseudomonadati; Pseudomonadota; Betaproteobacteria; Burkholderiales; Alcaligenaceae. The record is from RNAcentral.
GGGAUGCCCAUCCCAUGCCAAGUCGAACGGCAGCACGGACUUCGGUCUGGUGGCGAGUGGCGAACGGGUGAGUAAUGUAUCGGAACGUGCCCAGUAGCGGGGGAUAACUACGCGAAAGCGUAGCUAAUACCGCAUACGCCCUACGGGGGAAAGCAGGGGAUCGCAAGACCUUGCACUAUUGGAGCGGCCGAUAUCGGAUUAGCUAGUUGGUGGGGUAACGGCUCACCAAGGCGACGAUCCGUAGCUGGUUUGAGAGGACGACCAGCCACACUGGGACUGAGACACGGCCCAGACUCCUACGGGAGGCAGCAGUGGGGAAUUUUGGACAAUGGGGGAAACCCUGAUCCAGCCAUCCCGCGUGUGCGAUGAAGGCCUUCGGGUUGUAAAGCACUUUUGGCAGGAAAGAAACGUCGCGGGUUAAUACCUCGCGAAACUGACGGUACCUGCAGAAUAAGCACCGGCUAACUACGUGCCAGCAGCCGCGGUAAUACGUAGGGUGCAAGCGUUAAUCGGAAUUACUGGGCGUAAAGCGUGCGCAGGCGGUUCGGAAAGAAAGAUGUGAAAUCCCAGAGCUUAACUUUGGAACUGCAUUUUUAACUACCGGGCUAGAGUGUGUCAGAG